AGUGAACGCUGGCGGUAGGCCUAACACAUGCAAGUCGAACGGCAGCACAGGAGUGCUUGCUCUCUGGGUGGCGAGUGGCGGACGGGUGAGGAAUACAUCGGAAUCUACUCUGUCGUGGGGGAUAACGUAGGGAAACUUACGCUAAUACCGCAUACGACCUACGGGUGAAAGCAGGGGACCUUCGGGCCUUGCGCGAUUGAAUGAGCCGAUGUCGGAUUAGCUAGUUGGCGGGGUAAAGGCCCACCAAGGCGACGAUCCGUAGCUGGUCUGAGAGGAUGAUCAGCCACACUGGAACUGAGACACGGUCCAGACUCCUACGGGAGGCAGCAGUGGGGAAUAUUGGACAAUGGGCGCAAGCCUGGUCCAGCCAUACCGCGUGGGUGAAGAAGGCCUUCGGGUUGUAAAGCCCUUUUGUUGGGAAAGAAAUCCAGCUGGCUAACACCCGGUUGGGAUGACGGUACCCAAAGAAUAAGCACCGGCUAACUUCGUGCCAGCCGCCGCCGUAA
Molecule: ribosomal RNA, 506 nt
Filed under: uncultured bacterium
Lineage: Bacteria
Description: partial 16S ribosomal RNA
Rfam family: Bacterial small subunit ribosomal RNA
Source: RNAcentral